Molecule: long non-coding RNA, 3059 nt
Organism: Oncorhynchus kisutch (coho salmon)
Lineage: Eukaryota; Metazoa; Chordata; Actinopteri; Salmoniformes; Salmonidae
Source: Ensembl
ACUUUCUUUUUCCAAUUAUAACCAGUCACUCCCAUUACUAGUGCAGUGACUGCCAAUCCUAUAACUUAUUUUACAACCAUGAUUACUUUAAGACAAGCUAGCAAGUACAAACAUUUUCUUUAGGAAAUGUAAUUUUCCAUGUAUUAUUAUUUUCUCUUAGAUUCGGCACAGUGGGAGUUUUUGUUAAACUGAUAUUCAAGGUCAAAACACCAGUCCCCACUGAGGAUGAUGUCCUUGGUGCCGUCAAGAAACAAUUGUCUCCUCAAUUCACGACCACUCAAACCACCUUCCAGAAUGCAACUUAUAUCAAACUUACAGAUACUUCAUUUGCCAUCGACCUUGGUUUCAAAAUAACCAAUGUAACCCAGGAGUCUCUAAGUAAUAGACUCACACUCACCAAUGAGACCGAAACCCAGAUACAGGAUUCAAUUAACAGACUAGUAAGAUACUGUACUUCUUUCUACACAUAAGAUACAUCCAUGGUCAUGUUCAGGUCAUGAUAGUAAUUGACAACUUGAUGUUUUGUCCCCUUUUAGCUCCAAAAGGUUCUCAGUGAACCAGAUGGCAAACAGUUUAAAUUUCCCAACGCCAACCUCAUUGUUGAUGGCACUGAAAUCACGGCAAACGUGACAUAUGUAUACAAAGAGGAAGAUGUCAACCACCCUAGUGGUUUUCUACAGGAAGUCUUAAAAGUCUCAGGUCUCCUGACCACCACUGUUGCCCCAACAACAACUACCAACUCCACACCACUUCCUACCCUUUUGACUUCAGUGACAUCAACAACUAGAUUCGGCACAGUGGGAGUUUUUGUUAAACUGAUAUUCAAGGUCAAAACACCAGUCCCCACUGAGGAUGAUGUCCUUGGUGCCGUCAAGAAACAAUUGUCUCCUCAAUUCACGACCACUCAAACCACCUUCCAGAAUGCAACUUAUAUCAAACUUACAGAUACUUCAUUUGCCAUCGACCUUGGUUUCAAAAUAACCAAUGUAACCCAGGAGUCUCUAAGUAAUAGACUCACACUCACCAAUGAGACCGAAACCCAGAUACAGGAUUCAAUUAACAGACUACUCCAAAAGGUUCUCAGUGAACCAGAUGGCAAACAGUUUAAAUUUCCCAACGCCAACCUCAUUGUUGAUGGCACUGAAAUCACGGCAAACGUGACAUAUGUAUACAAAGAGGAAGAUGUCAACCACCCUAGUGGUUUUCUACAGGAAGUCUUAAAAGUCUCAGGUCUCCUGACCACCACUGUUGCCCCAACAACAACUACCAAAACCACACCACUACCUACCCUAUUGACUUCAGUGACAUCAACAACUAGAUUCGGCACAGCCGUGGUUAUUGUUAAACUGAUAUUCAACCUCAAAACACCAGUCCCCACUGAGGCUGAUGUCCUUGGUGCCGUCAAUAAGCAACUGUCUCUUCAAUCCAAGACCACUCAAACCACCUUCCAGAAUGCAACUUAUAUCAAACUUUCAGAUACUUCAUUUGCCAUCAACCUUGGUUUCAAAAUAACCAAUGUAACCCUGGAGUCUCUAAGUAAUAGACUCACAUUCACCAAUGAGACCUACGUCCAGAUACAGCUUUCAAUUAACACACUUCUCCGUCAACUUCUCAGUGAACCAAACGGCAACCAGUUUCAAUUUCCCAACGCCAACUUCAUUGCUGAUGGCACUGAAAUCAGGGCAAAUGUGACGUAUGUAUACAAAGAGGAUGAUGUCAACCACCCUAGUGGUUUUCUACAGGAAGUCUUAAAAGUCUCAGGUCUCCUGACCACCACUGUUUCCCCAACAACAACAACAACAACAACAACUACCAACACCACACCACUUCCUACCCUUUUGACUUCAGUGACAUCAACAACUAGAUUCGGCACAGUGGUGGUUUUUGUUAAACUGAUAUUCAAGCUCAAAACACCAGUCCCCACUGAGGAUGAUGUCCUUGGUGCCGUCAAGAAGCAAUUGUCUCGUCAAUUCAGGACCACUCAAACCACCUACCAGAAUGCAACUUAUAUCAAACUUACAGAUACUUCAUUUGCCAUCAACCUUGGUUUCAAAAUAACCAAUGUAACCCUGGAGUCUCUAAGUCAUAGACUCACAUUCACCAACGAGACCUACAUCAAGAUACAGGAUUCAAUUAACAGUCUACUCCAUAAGGUUCUCAGUGAACCAGACGGCAAACAGUUUCAAUUUCCCAACGCCAACUUCGUUGCUGAUGGCACUGAAAUCACGGCAAAUGUGACGUAUGUUUACAAAGAGGAAGAUGUCAACCACCCUAGUGGUUUUCUACAGGAAGUCUUAAAAGUCUCAGGUCUCCUGACCACCACUGUUGCCCCAACAACAACUACCAACACCACACCACUUCCUACCCUUUUGCUGACCACUCCUUUCAAUACCACAAGUGUUGGAGGUUUUCCUGGCUGGGCUUUGGCCAUUAUCAUUCCUUGUGGCAUCGCUAUCAUUCUGGUACCGCUGUGGAUCCUGCUAUGUUGUAUGCUAUGUGGCUGCUGUGCAGCUGUAAGGAGACGCUGGCACAGACGCAGAUCUUACAAUGUACAGUACACCACCAGAAAUGGACUCUUCUGAGGUGACAACACUAACAUCAGUAGGCAACUGUCAUCACAAGAACAGUCAAUUAUCUAUCUAUAUCUGCUAAUCAGGAGGUUUCAUUGGGUACUUGCAUCUAUUUUUUUAACACAAAAAGAAAAUUCAUAAUGGGCUUAAUAAUCCACAGGUGUUUUGUGCAUUGUACAAUUUUUUAUAUUAUACAUCUGAUUGUUAAUCAAAGUUACAGCUGAGCUGAACAGCAUGUAUGUUUAUGUAUUUAUUAGCUAUGUAAUUUAUGUGGUUUCAAGCUGUGCUGUCCACUGACUAAAACAGUUUUCAGUUAUUUAUUGAAUGUAUAAUAAGGUAGAUAAAAAUAUUAAUUUGAGUUUUGUUAUUUCCUCUCUUGAUUAACUAUUAACUAACUUAUUUUCAACUGCAAUACAGUACUUGUUUCUUCAUCACACAGUUUGACAAAUGUAAUAAAGACUUUGCAAAUCAGUAUUAAGAAAACAUUGU